Molecule: ribosomal RNA, 238 nt
Filed under: uncultured bacterium
Lineage: Bacteria
Description: partial 16S ribosomal RNA
Rfam family: Bacterial small subunit ribosomal RNA
Source: RNAcentral
UGGCGGACGGGUGAGUAACGCGUGGGUAACCUGCCUCAUACAGGGGGAUAACGGUUAGAAAUGACUGCUAAUACCGCAUAAGCGCACAGUACCGCAUGGUACGUUGUGAAAAACUCCGGUGGUAUGAGAUGGACCCGCGUCUGAUUAGCUAGUUGGUGGGGUAACGGCCCACCAAGGCGACGAUCAGUAGCCGACCUGAGAGGGUGACCGGCCACAUUGGGACUGAGACACGGCCCAG